GCCCGGGUGGCGGAACUGGUAGACGCUACGGACUUAAAAUCCGUUGCCAGAAAUGGCGUGCCGGUUCGAUUCCGGCUCCGGGCACCA
Molecule: transfer RNA, 87 nt
Filed under: Gammaproteobacteria bacterium
Lineage: Bacteria; Pseudomonadati; Pseudomonadota; Gammaproteobacteria
Description: tRNA-Leu
Rfam family: tRNA
About the family: Transfer RNA (tRNA) molecules are approximately 80 nucleotides in length. Their secondary structure includes four short double-helical elements and three loops (D, anti-codon, and T loops).
Source: RNAcentral